UACAGGAGGGUGCGAGUACGUUAAGUACGGUAAUUACGUGGGACGUAAAGCGUGCGUAGGUGGUUUUUUAAGCUGGAUGUGAAAGCCCCCGGGCUUAACCUGGGAACUGCAUUCAGGACUGGGAAACUCGAGUCUGGGAGAGGGUGGUGGAAUUUCCGGUGUAGCGGUGAAAUGCGUAGAUAUCGGAAGGAACAUCAGUGGCGAAGGCGACCGCCUGGCCUAAGACUGACACUGAGGCACGAAAGCGUGGGGAGCAAACAGGAUUAGAAACCCUGGUAGU
RNAcentral lists this ribosomal RNA (280 nucleotides) under uncultured bacterium. Its description in RNAcentral is "partial 16S ribosomal RNA". The stretch from base 41 to 280 matches the Rfam family "Bacterial small subunit ribosomal RNA", at positions 556 to 794 of the family's 1533-position model. The record is from RNAcentral.